RNAcentral lists this ribosomal RNA (1364 nucleotides) under Escherichia coli. Its description in RNAcentral is "partial 23S ribosomal RNA". It matches the Rfam family "Bacterial large subunit ribosomal RNA", at positions 1574 to 2912 of the family's 2925-position model. Lineage: Bacteria; Pseudomonadati; Pseudomonadota; Gammaproteobacteria; Enterobacterales; Enterobacteriaceae. The record is from RNAcentral.
GCACUACGGUGCUGAAGCGACAAAUGCCCUGCUUCCAGGAAAAGCCUCUAAGCAUCAGGUAACAUUAAAUCGUACCCCAAACCGACACAGGUGGUCAGGUAGAGAAUACCAAGGCGCUUGAGAGAACUCGGGUGAAGGAACUAGGCAAAAUGGUGCCGUAACUUCGGGAGAAGGCACGCUGAUAUGUAGGUGAAGCGACUUGCUCGUGGAGCUGAAAUCAGUCGAAGAUACCAGCUGGCUGCAACUGUUUAUUAAAAACACAGCACUGUGCAAACACGAAAGUGGACGUAUACGGUGUGACGCCUGCCCGGUGCCGGAAGGUUAAUUGAUGGGGUUAGCGGCAACGCGAAGCUCUUGAUCGAAGCCCCGGUAAACGGCGGCCGUAACUAUAACGGUCCUAAGGUAGCGAAAUUCCUUGUCGGGUAAGUUCCGACCUGCACGAAUGGCGUAAUGAUGGCCAGGCUGUCUCCACCCGAGACUCAGUGAAAUUGAACUCGCUGUGAAGAUGCAGUGUACCCGCGGCAAGACGGAAAGACCCCGUGAACCUUUACUAUAGCUUGACACUGAACAUUGAGCCUUGAUGUGUAGGAUAGGUGGGAGGCUUUGAAGUGUGGACGCCAGUCUGCAUGGAGCCGACCUUGAAAUACCACCCUUUAAUGUUUGAUGUUCUAACGUGGGCCCGUAAUCCGGGUUGCGGACAGUGUCUGGUGGGUAGUUUGACUGGGGCGGUCUCCUCCUAAAGAGUAACGGAGGAGCACGAAGGUUGGCUAAUCCUGGUCGGACAUCAGGAGGUUAGUGCAAUGGCAUAAGCCAGCUUGACUGCGAGCGUGACGGCGCGAGCAGGUGCGAAAGCAGGUCAUAGUGAUCCGGUGGUUCUGAAUGGAAGGGCCAUCGCUCAACGGAUAAAAGGUACUCCGGGGAUAACAGGCUGAUACCGCCCAAGAGUUCAUAUCGACGGCGGUGUUUGGCACCUCGAUGUCGGCUCAUCACAUCCUGGGGCUGAAGUAGGUCCCAAGGGUAUGGCUGUUCGCCAUUUAAAGUGGUACGCGAGCUGGGUUUAGAACGUCGUGAGACAGUUCGGUCCCUAUCUGCCGUGGGCGCUGGAGAACUGAGGGGGGCUGCUCCUAGUACGAGAGGACCGGAGUGGACGCAUCACUGGUGUUCGGGUUGUCAUGCCAAUGGCACUGCCCGGUAGCUAAAUGCGGAAGAGAUAAGUGCUGAAAGCAUCUAAGCACGAAACUUGCCCCGAGAUGAGUUCUCCCUGACCCUUUAAGGGUCCUGAAGGAACGUUGAAGACGACGACGUUGAUAGGCCGGGUGUGUAAGCGCAGCGAUGCGUUGAGCUAACCGGUACUAAUGAACCGU